Molecule: unclassified non-coding RNA, 390 nt
Filed under: Pseudomonas sp. URMO17WK12:I11
Lineage: Bacteria; Pseudomonadati; Pseudomonadota; Gammaproteobacteria; Pseudomonadales; Pseudomonadaceae
Description: cspA
Source: RNAcentral
AUUGCGCUGGAUCACACUGGGGUGAAGGUAAAAGACGCGACAGCCGCAGAAUUAGACUAUGAUGUACCCGUGCUCCGUAGCUUCGGCCACAUUGCACCACCGAAAAUACUAAAUGUUCUGGAGAUUCACCCAUGUCCAAUCGCCAACAAGGCACCGUCAAGUGGUUCAAUGAUGAGAAAGGCUUCGGCUUCAUCACCCCAGCAGGCGGCGGCGACGACCUGUUCGUUCACUUCAAAGCCAUCGAAUCUGACGGCUUCAAGAGCCUGAAAGAAGGCCAAACUGUUUCCUUCGUCGCCGAGCGCGGCCAGAAGGGCAUGCAGGCUGCGCAGGUUCGUCCGGAGUAAUUCGGAUAGCCGUAAAAAAACCCGCCCUCGUGGCGGGUUUUUUUUG